GGAUGUGGCUCACUGGUGGAAUAUCUGCUUUGCAUGCAAAGGACUCCAGGUUCAAUUCUUGGCAGCUCCA
Non-coding RNA from Podarcis lilfordi (Lilford's wall lizard), 70 nucleotides. NCBI's taxonomy places the organism in Eukaryota, Metazoa, Chordata, Lepidosauria, Squamata, Lacertidae. The record is from the annotation of a GenBank genome assembly.